RNAcentral lists this long non-coding RNA (204 nucleotides) under Salvia miltiorrhiza (redroot sage). Its description in RNAcentral is "long non-coding RNA (SMIL_LNC009831)". The record is from RNAcentral. Lineage: Eukaryota; Viridiplantae; Streptophyta; Magnoliopsida; Lamiales; Lamiaceae.
UUUGGCGGAACCGAGAAGGGGAGAGAGUUCCGAGGGAGAUAAGAGACGGAGGCGGCUGUCGUUGCAGUCGCCGAAAAAGGGAGCCGAAGGAAGAAGGGAGGUGGAGCCUGUCGCCGCUUGCUCCGACGAGCUCCGCCGGCGGCAGAUUUCGAUAGUGGGGAGAAGGAUCUGGGCAGAACUUGAGAGAGAGAGAGAGAGAGAGAG